UAAUUGAAGAGUUUGAUCAUGGCUCAGAUUGAACGCUGGCGGUAGGCUUAACACAUGCAAGUCGUGCGAGAAAGUAUCUUCGGAUAUGAGUAGAGCGGCGGACGGGUGAGUAACGCGUA
This 119-nucleotide ribosomal RNA is filed under the name Gammaproteobacteria bacterium. Its description in RNAcentral is "partial 16S ribosomal RNA". It matches the Rfam family "Bacterial small subunit ribosomal RNA", at positions 1 to 119 of the family's 1533-position model. The record is from RNAcentral. Lineage: Bacteria; Pseudomonadati; Pseudomonadota; Gammaproteobacteria.